RNAcentral lists this ribosomal RNA (253 nucleotides) under uncultured bacterium. RNAcentral's name for it is "partial 16S ribosomal RNA". It matches the Rfam family "Bacterial small subunit ribosomal RNA", at positions 524 to 776 of the family's 1533-position model. The record is from RNAcentral.
UACGUAGGGUGCAAGCGUUGUCCGGAAUUAUUGGGCGUAAAGAGCUCGUAGGCGGUCUGUUGCGUCGGCUGUGAAAACCCGAGGCUCAACCUCGGGCCUGCAGCCGAUACGGGCAGACUAGAGUUCGGCAGGGGAGACUGGAAUUCCUGGUGUAGCGGUGAAAUGCGUAGAUAUCAGGAGGAACACCGGUGGCGAAGGCGGCUAUCUGGACAGAAACUGACGCUGAGGCGCGAAAGCUAGGGGAGCAAACAGG